ACACACACACACUCUCACACACACACACACUUUCUUGGUAAUCUGUAAGAAGAGGAGGCAGCAGCACCAGAGAAGACACCUGAGCCGAGGGUGCAUUGGAGACAAAGAGACACUGAUGUAAAUAUUGUCUAUGCAAGGCCAAGGUCAUGCAGGAAUCAACCAAAGAAAGCUGAUCACAUUCAGAACACUGAUCCUCCCAAUGCUCCUGACACUCAUUGUGAGGUGGCCUUUGCUCCAGAGACUGUUGAGUGCAUUCACUGAACGAUUUCUCAGGUGACGAGGCAUCACCUCCUGGAACCCCAAGAGAUCUUCUUCUGGCUUCCUCAAACUGGAGAACACGUCAAAGUCUCUUCAGAGAGGUGGAGGGCAUGUGGUAGCACACAUCUGCCUAAGGAAUGUGCAGUGGGAGACUUAAACAGAAGUGGGUACUGGCCUGCAACCCUUCAAUUCACCACAAUUUAUGCCAUAGAUAUCUUGUUUUCAUUUCAAGAAAUGAAGAUGGCGGCACCAGGACUGUCCUGUCAAGCAUUUUUUAAGAAUGCUGGAUCAGCGAACUGUCUGCUUUGGUCGUACUGGCAAGAUCUCAGCAGACAGUUUUCAGAAAAGUUUUUUGAGUGGGAGACUGUGCGAUUCAAGGUGGACAAUAUAUGCAAGGAAGAGCCUUUCACCUGCCCUGCAUGCACCCCAGAGAUUAUCAUUUCAAGGAUACUGCUAGAUCUGAGGAACCGGCCAUCUUUGAAGGUGUCUUUAUAGCCAAGGAUAAAGAUGUUACCAGAUUUCUGGACUACAUUCACAACACAACCACAACGAAAAGCUUGCCAGAAAACAGGAUGUAACCUGUGAAAUGGAGUGAGGCAAAUGCAGGAUGUUGCUGUAUUAACACUAGGAGAGGAGGUGGGACAGUGCAGUACCUUCCUCUCUAGGAUUGCAGUGACUACAAAACAAUUGUGAAAAGCAGGACGCGCAGACAAUCUGCCUCUCAUGGCCAUGCGCUGGAAUCAGCAAAAGUUUAACAAUUUAGCCAUCUUAAUUACUCGUCGAUAUCAGAAGACCAAAAAGCUCUGGAAAGCCAGUUAGAAAACCUAGAGUCCAUGAAAGCCCAAUUGGCAGUGACAGAAAGCUAAUUGGAAGGCUAGACUCUGUACAUCUAAGUCAGUUUGGAGACUUCAGGAGGAGCAGAAGAUGCUUGUUGCAGAGAUGGACCAUCAUUGGAAAUCUCUAAGCUUGUGCUGAUGCCAUCAGAGAGCUGUCCUGCUUGUUUUCUAAUGAGACAAUGAAAAAUUCACCAUGUGGCCUAAGUGAAGAGGGUCUAAAAGGUCUGCUGAGCACCAUUCUCAGAGAGCAACAUAAAAUCAGAAAAAUUUGCAAGCAAGAGACUGUUACCUACAAGUUUUGUCUGGAGCAGAGAACAUCAACUUCUUGUACAGUGCUUCACCUGAUGAGUACGACAGUGACUUUGACAUUUCUGAUGAUGGUCUGUAAUCCACAAGACUGUCACCUUCCAUCAUUCUGGACAAAGACUUCUAACUGUCAAUAUAAAGCAUUUAAUAAAAUCUACUUUUCAUAACCUUA
Long non-coding RNA from Paramisgurnus dabryanus, 1572 nucleotides. RefSeq lists it as uncharacterized. The record is from RefSeq and is a predicted model, not a curated record. Lineage: Eukaryota; Metazoa; Chordata; Actinopteri; Cypriniformes; Cobitidae.